This 387-nucleotide ribosomal RNA is filed under the name uncultured bacterium. RNAcentral's name for it is "bacterial SSU rRNA". It matches the Rfam family "Bacterial small subunit ribosomal RNA", at positions 470 to 854 of the family's 1533-position model. The record is from RNAcentral.
UGACGGUACCGGGUGAGGAAGCACCGGCUAACUCCGUGCCAGCAGCCGCGGUAAUACGGAGGGUGCGAGCGUUGUCCGGAAUUACUGGGCGUAAAGAGUUCGUAGGCGGUUUGUCGCGUCGUUUGUGAAAACCAGCAGCUCAACUGCUGGCUUGCAGGCGAUACGGGCAGACUUGAGUACUGCAGGGGAGACUGGAAUUCCUGGUGUAGCGGUGAAAUGCGCAGAUAUCAGGAGGAACACCGGUGGCGAAGGCGGGUCUCUGGGCAGUAACUGACGCUGAGGAACGAAAGCGUGGGCAGCGAACAGGAUUAGAUACCCUGGUAGUCCACGCCGUAAACGGUGGGGCGCUAGGUGUGGGUUCCUUCCACGGAAUCCGUGCCGUAGCUA